This 425-nucleotide ribosomal RNA is filed under the name bacterium. RNAcentral describes it as "partial 16S ribosomal RNA". It matches the Rfam family "Bacterial small subunit ribosomal RNA", at positions 355 to 776 of the family's 1533-position model. The record is from RNAcentral.
UGGGGAAUAUUGCACAAUGGGCGCAAGCCUGAUGCAGCGACGCCGCGUGAGGGAUGGAGGCCUUCGGGUUGUAAACCUCUUUCGCCAGUGAAGCAGGCCAUCUUCUUUGUGGGGUGGUUGACGGUAGCUGGAUAAGAAGCGCCGGCUAACUACGUGCCAGCAGCCGCGAUAAUACGUAGGGCGCGAGCGUUGUCCGGAAUUAUUGGGCGUAAAGAGCUCGUAGGCGGCUGGUCGCGUCUGUCGUGAAAUCCCCUGGCUUAACUGGGGGCUUGCGGUGGGUACGGGCCGGCUUGAGUGCGGUAGGGGAGACUGGAAUUCCUGGUGUAGCGGUGGAAUGCGCAGAUAUCAGGAGGAACACCGGUGGCGAAGGCGGGUCUCUGGGCCGUUACUGACGCUGAGGAGCGAAAGCGUGGGGAGCGAACAGG